This 347-nucleotide long non-coding RNA is filed under the name Capsicum annuum. RNAcentral describes it as "long non-coding RNA (CANN_LNC016973)". Lineage: Eukaryota; Viridiplantae; Streptophyta; Magnoliopsida; Solanales; Solanaceae. The record is from RNAcentral.
GAACACAUGGCAGAGAGGUCUUGCUGAUAAAUGAAAUUCUGAAAAUAUAGAAUCCUUCUGAAGGUGCCAUGGAAAGAGAUAAUGUGAAGUUAUACCAAAUAACGUGGAAGAAAAAAUAGAUGGGGAGAUAAAUGUCAGGAGGCGCAAGAACAUGGACGAGCUCAUGCCAAUCUGACACUACAGGAGGAAUAUUUGCUGGCACCACCAACGGCAAUGCCACGUGGCCUCAGGUCUUUGGUUCUAGUACUUUAGGCCGACAGUAGAACUUUCUUAUUGGCUGAGGCCUCACUAUUUUGGCUGAUAAAUAGCUUGCCAUUUUUAAUUGUAGAGACAUUCUAUAUUCUAAG